UCCGUAGGCGGAUUGAUAAGUCAGAGGUGAAAUCCCACAGCUUAACUGUGGAACUGCCUUUGAAACUGUUAGUCUUGAGUUAUAUGGAAGUAGAUAGAAUGUGUAGUGUAGCGGUGAAAUGCAUAGAGAUUACACAGAAUACCGAUUGCGAAGGCAGUCUACUACGUAUAUACUGACGCUAAUGGACGAGAGCGUGGGGAGCGAACAGGAUUAGAUACCCUGGUAGUCC
This 229-nucleotide ribosomal RNA is filed under the name uncultured bacterium. Its description in RNAcentral is "partial 16S ribosomal RNA". It matches the Rfam family "Bacterial small subunit ribosomal RNA", at positions 568 to 796 of the family's 1533-position model. The record is from RNAcentral.